CAGUCGCCACGGUAAAACAGAGGAUGCAAGCGUUAUCCGGAAUGAUUGGGCGUAAAGCGUCUGUAGGUGGCUUUUCAAGUCCGCCGUCAAAUCCCAGGGCUCAACCCUGGACAGGCGGUGGAAACUACCAAGCUGGAGUACGGUAGGGGUAGAGGGAAUUUCCGGUGGGGCGGUGAAAUGCGUUGAGAUCGGAAAAAACACCAACGGCGAAAGCACUCUGCUGGGCCGACACUGACACUGAGAGACGAAAGCUAGGGGAGCAAAUGGGAUUAGAUACCCGUGUAGUCCCUGUCUCUUAUAC
RNAcentral lists this ribosomal RNA (301 nucleotides) under uncultured bacterium. Its description in RNAcentral is "partial 16S ribosomal RNA". It matches the Rfam family "Bacterial small subunit ribosomal RNA", at positions 509 to 807 of the family's 1533-position model. The record is from RNAcentral.